Molecule: long non-coding RNA, 367 nt
Organism: Corapipo altera (White-ruffed manakin)
Lineage: Eukaryota; Metazoa; Chordata; Aves; Passeriformes; Pipridae
Exons: 3
Source: RefSeq, a predicted model, not a curated record
GUGCUCAACUCCAAGGAUAAGGCUCCCUAUUUAAUCUACGUGGAAGUGCUUGAAUGUGACAAUUUCGACACAGCGAAUGUUCCCGCCCGGAUCCCGGAGAACCGGAUCCGGAGCACGCGCUCGGCCGAGAACCUUCCCGAGGUGGGGAUGAGCCACGAGCAGAGGACGGGGAGCUUCAGCACCGUCCCCAACUACGACAACGACGACGAGGCCUGGUCCGUGGACGACAUCGGGGAGCUCCAGGUGGAGCUUCCAGAGGUUCACACCAACAGCUGUGACAACAUCUCCCAGUUUUCCGUGGACAGCAUCACGAGCCAGGAGAGCCGGGAGCCCGUGUUCAUCGCCGCCGGGGACAUCCGGUCAGGAA